AUCAUUACUGAGUGGCGUGGCGGGGCGGUUUUUCGGAGACGAGAGACGUCCUGUCCAGGUUACCCGACCUUUUGUCAUUUGCUGGUUGGGGUGUGGGGGGUGGAGUUCCGGAAGAGGCUUAGUCUGAUGUCUUCGGAUGGACGACAUGUCUCGGAGGGAGGUUCGCCUUGCGCACGCCGACACCAUAUUUCGGCGGAAGAGGUGGUCGUCGAGCUGCCCGCCGCCGGUGGUAUCCUUUACUCUUUUYUUUUUUUUUUUGAGAAUGUUGAAGCAGUCUGAGAAAAACCCAUAAUGAAAAGCAAAACUUUCAACAACGGAUCUCUUGGCUCUGGCAACGAUGAAGAACGCAGCGAAACGCGAAAGGUAAUGCGAAUUGCAGAAUCAGUGAGUCAUCGAAUCUUUGAACGCACAUUGCGCCUCUUGGUAUUCCAGGAGGCACGCCUGUUCGAGCGCCAUUACAAACUCCAAGCUGUGGCUUGAUGUUGGAUGCUGUCUUUUUGGUGAAAGGAGAGACACAUCUGGAACGUGUGGGCGCCGCCGCCAGACCACGAGCGUAGCAAGACGAAAGUCAGUCGUUCGAUUUGGAUCUGUCUGUGGUUGUCUGUCUGUCGGGGUCUGUUCUUUGGAAUUCUGAAGAACAGGCGACGUACAACACCCAAAGUUGGCCUCGAUCAGGCGGGUCU
Molecule: ribosomal RNA, 683 nt
Filed under: Scolecobasidium gamsii
Lineage: Eukaryota; Fungi; Ascomycota; Dothideomycetes; Venturiales; Sympoventuriaceae
Description: eukaryotic LSU rRNA
Rfam family: 5.8S ribosomal RNA (bases 303-455)
Source: RNAcentral